This 449-nucleotide ribosomal RNA is filed under the name uncultured bacterium. RNAcentral describes it as "partial 16S ribosomal RNA". It matches the Rfam family "Bacterial small subunit ribosomal RNA", at positions 29 to 523 of the family's 1533-position model. The record is from RNAcentral.
AACGAACGCUGGCGGCAGGCCUAACACAUGCAAGUCGAACGCUGUAGCAAUACAGAGUGGCAGACGGGUGAGUAACGCGUGGGAACCUUCCCAAUGGUGCGGAAUAGCCUAGGGAAACUUGGGGUAAUACCGCAUAAGCCCUUAGGGGGAAAGAUUUAUCGCCAUUGGAUGGGCCCGCGUCGGAUUAGCUAGUUGGUGAGGUAAUGGCUCACCAAGGCAACGAUCCGUAGCUGGUUUGAGAGAAUGACCAGCCACACUGGGACUGAGACACGGCCCAGACUCCUACGGGAGGCAGCAGUGGGGAAUCUUGGACAAUGGGCGCAAGCCUGAUCCAGCCAUGCCGCGUGAGUGACGAAGGCCUUAGGGUUGUAAAGCUCUUUUGCCGGGGACGAUAAUGACGGUACCCGGAGAAUAAGUCCCGGCUAACUUCGUGCCAGCCGCCGCGGUAA